Molecule: ribosomal RNA, 494 nt
Filed under: uncultured bacterium
Lineage: Bacteria
Description: partial 16S ribosomal RNA
Rfam family: Bacterial small subunit ribosomal RNA
Source: RNAcentral
GACGAACGCUGGCGGCGUGCUUAACACAUGCAAGUCGAACGGAAAGGCCUGCUUUCCCUUGUGGAUUGCGGGUACUCGAGUGGCGAACGGGUGAGUAACACGUGAGUGAUCUGCCCCCAACUUGGGUAUAAGCCUGGGAAACUGGGUCUAAUUCCCGAUAGGACUGCAGGGUGGUGCCUGUGGUGGAAAACGAUUUUCUAGUGGUUGGGGAUGAGCUCGCGGCCUAUCAGCUUGUUGGUGGGGUAAUGGCCUACCAAGGCGGCGACGGGUAGCCGGCCUGGGAGGGUGGACGGCCACAUUGGGACUGAGAUACGGCCCAGACUCCUACGGGAGGCAGCAGGGGGGAAUAUUGGACAAUGGGCGGAAGCCUGAUGCAGCGACGCCGCGUGGGGGAUGACGGCCUUCGGGUUGUAAACUCCUUUCGACCGCGAGGAAGCCACCUGGUUGGAAGGGUGGUGACGGUAGUGGUAGAAGAAGCACCGACUAACUACGUG